RNAcentral lists this ribosomal RNA (460 nucleotides) under uncultured bacterium. Its description in RNAcentral is "partial 16S ribosomal RNA". It matches the Rfam family "Bacterial small subunit ribosomal RNA", at positions 338 to 795 of the family's 1533-position model. The record is from RNAcentral.
CCUACGGGAGGCAGCAGUGAGGAAUAUUGGUCAAUGGACGCGAGCCUGAACCAGCCAAGUAGCGUGAAGGAUGACUGCCCUACGGGUUGUAAACUUCUUUUAUAAAGGAAUAAACUGAGGCACGUGUGCCUUUUUGUAUGUAUUUUAUGAAUAAGGAUCGGCUAACUCCGUGCCCGCAGCCGCGGUAAUACGGAGAAUCCGAGCGUUAUCCGGAUUUAUUGGGUUUAAAGGGAGCGUAGAUGGGUUGUUAAGUCAGUUGUGAAAGUGUGCGGCUCAACCGUAAAAUUGCAAUUGAUACUGGCAGCCUUGAGUACAGUUGAGGUAGGCGGAAUGCGUGGUGUAGCGGUGAAAUGCUGAGAGAUCACGAAGAACUCCGAUUGCGAAGGCAGCCUACUAAACUGCCACUGACAUUGAUGCUCGAAAGUGUGGGGAGCAAACAGGAUUAGAUACCCUAGUAGUC